Small nucleolar RNA from Lutra lutra (Eurasian river otter), 218 nucleotides. RefSeq annotates it as small nucleolar RNA U3. Lineage: Eukaryota; Metazoa; Chordata; Mammalia; Carnivora; Mustelidae. The record is from RefSeq and is a predicted model, not a curated record. The transcript has a single exon.
AAGACUAUACUUUCAGGGAUCAUUUCUAUAGUUUGUUACUAGAGAAGUUUCUCUGAAUGUGUAGAGUACCCAAAACCACGAGGAGGAGGCGUGGUGUUCUCUCCUGAGCGUGAAGCUGGCGUUUGGUGUUGCGUUUUUGUAACUGCCACUUGCCAUUGAUGAUCGUUCUUCUUCCCUUUUGUGGGGAAGUAAGAGGGAGAGAACGCAGUCUGAGUGGA